GACCGAAGAGGAUAAAGCUCGGGAUGUGUUUAGGAAGUUAUCUGUCAGUAUGGUAUUGUCUUGAUGAAUCCUCUAUGAUUAUUUGUUUUGUUUUGAGAAAAAACCCUCUGAAUUUAUAUGUGGUCAUGAUUGUUGUUUGUAUAUAACUGGUUCUCUUGUUCAGCAUAAAGCAAUGAACAUGGCUCAGUACGCUCAGAAAAAGUUGGAUUUAGCAGAUGAGCUGAAGUUGGACAAAGAGGUAUGCUAAUAACUGUAUUCAUUGUCAAAGUAAUGUUGCGUCCUGAGAUUAAGGGAAAAAGAAACAGAAAUUUAUGUGCACGCACUUUUGCAGGGUGGAGUUGUUCCAUUGGAAAGACCCUUUGAGUUCUGAGUAAUGGAAAGACUAGAUUUGUCACUUUUGGCCUGAAAUGAGUGUAUUAUCCAUGAUCUCAUCUGACCGCAAGACAGAACUACUAUGAUGAUUGUAUUGCAUAAGCAGCCCAUCAGUCUGAAAUUGUGGAUGAUGCUUGGCUUUAGUUUACAUUUGUGGUUU
RNAcentral lists this long non-coding RNA (532 nucleotides) under Triticum aestivum (bread wheat). RNAcentral describes it as "long non-coding RNA (TAES_LNC026449)". The record is from RNAcentral. Lineage: Eukaryota; Viridiplantae; Streptophyta; Magnoliopsida; Poales; Poaceae.